Molecule: ribosomal RNA, 467 nt
Filed under: uncultured bacterium
Lineage: Bacteria
Description: partial 16S ribosomal RNA
Rfam family: Bacterial small subunit ribosomal RNA
Source: RNAcentral
GCAGAUCCCUUCGGCGUGCCUAACACAUGCAAGUCGAGCGAUUCUCUUCGGAGAAGAGCGGCGGACGGGUGAGUAACGCGUGGGUAACCUGCCCUGUACACACGGAUAACAUACCGAAAGGUAUGCUAAUACGGGAUAAUAUGCUUUAGUCGCAUGGCUGAAGUAUCAAAGCUCCGGCGGUACAGGAUGGACCCGCGUCUGAUUAGCUAGUUGGUAAGGUAACGGCUUACCAAGGCGACGAUCAGUAGCCGACCUGAGAGGGUGAUCGGCCACAUUGGAACUGGGACACGGUCCAAACUCCUACGGGAGGCAGCAGUGGGGAAUAUUGCACAAUGGGCGAAAGCCUGAUGCAGCAACGCCGCGUGAGCGAUGAAGGCCUUCGGGUCGUAAAGCUCUGUCCUCAAGGAAGAUAAUGACGGUACUUGAGGAGGAAGCCCCGGCUAACUACGUGCCAGCCGCCGCUGUAA